This is a long non-coding RNA of Solanum dulcamara, 456 nucleotides long. RefSeq lists it as uncharacterized. The record is from RefSeq and is a predicted model, not a curated record. Lineage: Eukaryota; Viridiplantae; Streptophyta; Magnoliopsida; Solanales; Solanaceae. The transcript has 2 exons.
UUUUUUACUUUCCUCCAUUUUUUGGGCAUGCUAAAUAUUCCCCCCAAAGAAUAUUUUAUCCCUCUUUAGAAUCACUUUACUCAUAGUUGCAGCCAAACAAAAAUUUUCCCUAGAAUGCUAAUUAAUUUCUUUCAGCAACUUAAACUCUUUCUGCGAUAAUUUCUUCGCCAUCGCUUUCUCCGGCGAGCUUGUUAUUCCUUUCUACUAUUAAAAUGAUUGGUCAUACGGUAUGAUGCUCAAAUAGCAAGUGGAGGAUUUCAAUACUACAAAGAAUUGCAAAAAUUGUUUAAGGGCUAUGCAUUUAGAAAUUUGUUAUUGGAGUUUUCAAUAGAAAUAGUUACAAUGAAAUUAGCUAUUUAGUUUAAACAUGUAAUGAUCUUUUAGUUCACUGAUUACAUUAGUACUUGCUUUUAUUUAUCUUGAAUUAAUGAAAUAUAUUUUUAUGAAUUAUAAUAA